GAUUACACUGAUGAGUGUCCACACAGAUUGAUGGUUUAUACAGUUUAAGAGACGAGGAUGUUCCCAAACAUUCUUACUUAGUGUCCCGUUCGUCUAGAGGCCUAGGACACCGCCCUUUCACGGCGGUAACAGGGGUUCGACUCCCCUACGGGAUACCACUUCCGUUGUGAAGUCAAGGGGUCGUUAGCUCAGUUGGUAGAGCAGUUGACUUUUAAUCAAUUGGUCGCAGGUUCGAAUCCUGCACGACCCACCAUUUCUUCCACAAGAAAUGUGAAAAAACAUGUGGGGCUAUAGCUCAGCUGGGAGAGCGCCUGCCUUGCACGCAGGAGGUCAGCGGUUCGAUCCUGCUUAGCUCCACCAUUUCUUCCACAAGAAAUGUCAAAAAACAUGUGGGCGAUUAGCUCAGUUGGGAGAGCACCUGCCUUACAAGCAGGGGGUCACUGGUUCGAACCGGUAUCGCCCACCACUCUCUAAGGAUUUUUGGAUGCACAUUGCCAAACCAGAUUAAGCAAUUGAACUGGUUGGUCUGUUUGACCCUGAAAGUCAUUAGAAAGUGAUUUGUUCCGUUAGGAAUACCUCUCGCUCUUUAACAAUUUGGAAAGCUGACUGAUAACAACGAACGUGUUUGUUGUUAUCAAAUAAAAGUUCUCAACAUCAAURCGUUUAACGUAUUGAUACCAAACACAUUCAAGUGUUCUUGGGAAAGCUUACUACGGUAAGUUUUCAAAAUUGAGUCCGGCAAAAUCAAACGUCUCUCGCUCAUUCAAAUAAUGAGAGACAACCUUGGUGACUUGUCUGCAACACGAAACUUCUUCGGGUGA
RNAcentral lists this transfer RNA (821 nucleotides) under Vibrio anguillarum. RNAcentral describes it as "partial 16S-23S ribosomal RNA intergenic spacer". The stretch from base 178 to 250 matches the Rfam family "tRNA". Lineage: Bacteria; Pseudomonadati; Pseudomonadota; Gammaproteobacteria; Vibrionales; Vibrionaceae. The record is from RNAcentral.